Molecule: long non-coding RNA, 461 nt
Organism: Equus caballus (horse)
Lineage: Eukaryota; Metazoa; Chordata; Mammalia; Perissodactyla; Equidae
Source: RefSeq, a predicted model, not a curated record
GAAAGAAUAGUUCAUUCUAUUUAUAUUGUAAUUCCAAUGCUAAACCAAACAGUUCUGUUAAGAGAGACAGAGCUUCGUGAAUACCUUUUUUAGUAGUUCGAGUCACCUGCUAUAUAAUUUCCAGAGUUAAUGAUAAUGUCUACUUAUCCUUGGCACCAGCUGCAAAUUUUCAUUUGUGCUAAUGACUAAACAUAUGAAGUCAGUCUAAUGCAGAAAUUGGAACUGAGAGGCAUUUGAAUGGUGAAGAAACAAAACCAGGAAAUCCAUGCGACCUGCAGACUUUCUCCAUACACCUUUCUCCUCCUGGCUGUCUGGGAUGGAGAUGACUCCAAGGCAAUCUUGGAAUCCACAGGUUAAAGAUGGCAAACUUUUGAUCAGCCUGAUGCCUGGGACAACUGCCUACAGAAGCUCCCUCAGACACAGCAGUAUUGCUAAAAGAGCAACAUUAAAAGUAUUUUUGU